AACGCGAAGAACCUUACCUGCCCUUGACAUCCACAGGAUUUUGCAGAGAUGCAGAAGUGCCGAAAGGAACUGUGAGACAGGUGCUGCAUGGCUGUCGUCAGCUCGUGUUGUGAGAUGUUGGGUUAAGUCCCGUAACGAGCGCAACCCUUGUCCCUGGUUACCAGCGCGUAGAGGCGGGGACUCCAGGGAGACUGCCGGUGAAGAACCGGAGGAAGGCGGGGACGACGUCAAGUCAUCAUGGCCUUUAUGGGCAGGGCUACACACGUGCUACAAUGGUGCGUACAGAGGGUCGCGAACCCGCGAGGGGGAGCUAAUCCUAUAAAGCGCAUCGUAGUCCGGACUGGAGUCUGCAACCCGACUCCACGAAGUCGGAAUCGCUAGUAAUCGCGAAUCAGAAUGUCGCGGUGAAUACGUUCCCGGGCCUUGUACACACCGCUCGCGA
This 442-nucleotide ribosomal RNA is filed under the name uncultured bacterium. RNAcentral's name for it is "bacterial SSU rRNA". It matches the Rfam family "Bacterial small subunit ribosomal RNA", at positions 958 to 1399 of the family's 1533-position model. The record is from RNAcentral.